GAAGCUAAGCAGGGCUGGGCUAUAAAACCAGGGCUGAGUUCAAAAAGCAAAAUAGAUUGAAAUAUUCAGCUAGUCAGUAGUUUUACAUCAACUGAUGUGUGAUGAGCGUUCUGGCCCAAAAUGGCUGCCGUGCAUCACCCAGAUGGAUGCUACACAUUGGUGGUGAAGGAGCAUUUCAUUUCGAUGCCUGUUGUUGGCUUUUAAGGCUUGUGGGGAGAGCAGGGAGGCUUCACACAAAGCAGACAGGCCCCACUUCGAGGCGGAGCUGCUGGCCCUGCCUGAGGUUAAACGGCUCCUGUAAGUCCACGAUGGGGAGCUGGUGACUGUCCUGAGUUUGAAAGAAGAAGCGUGACUGAUGCCAGCUGCCAUCUUGAAUCUGAUAGGGAGAAAGCACAAGGUGGAAUGAAUCAUGAAUGGCAGACAAAAGGGACUCUACAGUUUCAGUGGUGUUCAAUAAAAUUCUGAAGCUCA
This is a long non-coding RNA of Anguilla rostrata (American eel), 471 nucleotides long. RefSeq lists it as uncharacterized. The transcript is spliced from 2 exons. Lineage: Eukaryota; Metazoa; Chordata; Actinopteri; Anguilliformes; Anguillidae. The record is from RefSeq and is a predicted model, not a curated record.